RNAcentral lists this transfer RNA (65 nucleotides) under Dipodomys ordii (Ord's kangaroo rat). It matches the Rfam family "tRNA". From Rfam's summary of the family: Transfer RNA (tRNA) molecules are approximately 80 nucleotides in length. Their secondary structure includes four short double-helical elements and three loops (D, anti-codon, and T loops). Lineage: Eukaryota; Metazoa; Chordata; Mammalia; Rodentia; Heteromyidae. The record is from Rfam by way of RNAcentral.
GGUGGCUCAGUGGUAGAGUGCUUGCUUUGCAUGCAUGAAACCCUGGGUUCGAUUCCUCAGCACCA